RNAcentral lists this ribosomal RNA (449 nucleotides) under uncultured bacterium. RNAcentral's name for it is "partial 16S ribosomal RNA". It matches the Rfam family "Bacterial small subunit ribosomal RNA", at positions 338 to 795 of the family's 1533-position model. The record is from RNAcentral.
CCUACGGGUGGCAGCAGUGGGGAAUUUUGGACAAUGGGCGCAAGCCUGAUCCAGCCAUGCCGCGUGCAGGAUGAAGGCCUUCGGGUUGUAAACUGCUUUUGUACGGAACGAAAAGCCUCCUUCGAAUAAAGAGGGGUCAUGACGGUACCGUAAGAAUAAGCACCGGCUAACUACGUGCCAGCAGCCGCGGUAAUACGUAGGGUGCGAGCGUUAAUCGGAAUUACUGGGCGUAAAGCGUGCGCAGGCGGUGAAAUCCCCGGGAUCAACCUGGGAACGGCAAUUGUGACUGCAAGGCUGGAGUACGGCAGAGGGGGAUGGAAUUCCGCGUGUAGCAGUGAAAUGCGUAGAUAUGCGGAGGAACACCGAUGGCGAAGGCAGUCCCCUGGGCCUGUACUGACGCUCAUGCACGAAAGCGUGGGGAGCAAACAGGAUUAGAUACCCCAGUAGUC